GUGCCAGCAGCCGCGGUAAUACAGAGGGGGCAAGCGUUGUCCGGAUUUACUGGGCGUACAGCGCGCGCAGGCGGCGCCGUAUGUGACUGGUGACAUUCGCGGGCUCAACCCGCGACGGCCCGGUUACACAGCGGUGCUGGAGGCAGGGAGAGGGAUGUGGAAUACCCGGUGGAGCGGUGAAAUGCGUAGAGAUCGGGUGGAACACCAGCGGCGAAGGCGGCAUCCUGGCCCUGACCUGACGCUGAGGCGCGAUAGCGUGGGGAGCAAACGGGAUUAGAAACCCCGGUAGUCC
Molecule: ribosomal RNA, 292 nt
Filed under: uncultured bacterium
Lineage: Bacteria
Description: partial 16S ribosomal RNA
Rfam family: Bacterial small subunit ribosomal RNA
Source: RNAcentral